AAGCAUCGGAAGGCGGCGGUAAGAUCCCGCGCGUGCCGGAAGGCAUCUUCCCCAUCCCACGCGCCUACAGCUGUGCUCUUCAGCUGUUGUCCCCCGCCACGCGCUCCUCUUUGCUUCGCUGUCCCCACUCUCCCCCACGCCGCGGGGCGGGCGGUGAGCGCGCAGCGACAGCACAGCAGGCUCAGCACAGCGCGAUCCGACACCCCCGACGCGGAUCGGACGCGUAGCGCCGCGCUGACUGUGGGCACCGCACGCACCGACCGAACCCGCGCGCACCGACGGGACCCCCCCCGACUCUCGGCCACCCCCACUCACCACAGCGCCGUCCGCUCCGUGCGGUGCCGCAACCGCUCCGGACGCCCCCAGCGCCACCGCCGCGCCCCGCCCCGCGCGUCCCCGCGGGAGGAGCCGAGCCCGGCCCGGCCCCGCGGCCGUGAG
This 438-nucleotide long non-coding RNA is filed under the name Gallus gallus (chicken). Lineage: Eukaryota; Metazoa; Chordata; Aves; Galliformes; Phasianidae. The record is from RNAcentral.